RNAcentral lists this ribosomal RNA (758 nucleotides) under uncultured bacterium. RNAcentral describes it as "bacterial SSU rRNA". It matches the Rfam family "Bacterial small subunit ribosomal RNA", at positions 180 to 925 of the family's 1533-position model. The record is from RNAcentral.
CACCACACAUCAGUGUGGUGAGGAAAGGAAGCUUCGGCCUCCGCAUCUCGAGGGGCCCGCGGCCCAUUAGCUUGUUGGCGAGGUAACGGCUCACCAAGGCAACGAUGGGUAGCUGGUCUGAGAGGACGAUCAGCCACACUGGGACUGAGACACGGCCCAGACUCCUACGGGAGGCAGCAGUGGGGAAUCUUGCGCAAUGCGCGAAAGCGUGACGCAGCAACGCCGCGUGUGGGAAGACGGCCUUCGGGUUGUAAACCACUUUCAGGAGGGACGAAGGGUCGGCCGCGAAUAGCAAGCCGGCUUGACGGUACCUUCAGAAGAAGCUCCGGCUAACUACGUGCCAGCAGCCGCGGUAAUACGUAGGGAGCAAGCGUUGUCCGGAAUAAUUGGGCGUAAAGCGCGCGUAGGCGGCUCGAUAAGUCUGUUGUGAAAGUCAAAGGCUCAACCUUUGAAUGCCGAUGGAUACUGUCGAGCUAGAGUCCGGAAGAGGCGAGUGGAAUUCCUGGUGUAGCGGUGGAAUGCGCAGAUAUCAGGAGGAACACCAACGGCGAAGGCAGCUCGCUGGGACGGUACUGACGCUAAGGCGCGAAAGCGUGGGGAGCAAACAGGAUAGAUACCCUGGUAGUCCACGCCGUAAACGAUGGAUACUAGGUGUGGGAGGUGUCGGCUCCUCCCGUGCCGUCGCUAACGCACUAAGUAUCCCGCCUGGGGAGUACGGCCGCAAGGCUAAAACUCAAAGGAAUUGACGGAAUCGAAUU